GCCCAAGUGGUCCAACGGUUAAGAUGCGGCCCUGUCGAGGCUGCGAUCCGGGUUCAACUCCCGGCUUGGGCG
Molecule: transfer RNA, 72 nt
Filed under: archaeon
Lineage: Archaea
Description: tRNA-Asp
Rfam family: tRNA
About the family: Transfer RNA (tRNA) molecules are approximately 80 nucleotides in length.
Source: RNAcentral